Molecule: long non-coding RNA, 2793 nt
Organism: Drosophila simulans
Lineage: Eukaryota; Metazoa; Arthropoda; Insecta; Diptera; Drosophilidae
Exons: 6
Source: RefSeq, a predicted model, not a curated record
AAGCCAGUAGGCAAGCGGCCGCCGACAUUGUUGCUGGAUUUUGGGGUCGCGCUGCGGGGAAUCAGGGGUAAAACGAAACACCAACGCACAGGCGAGAGCUGCGACCACAAAAAAGCGGGCCAAAUCCAAAGCGACCGCGGAAAACAGGCCAUUUUUUGCUGCUCGUGUGUUUCUGAGUCGUAAAAGUGGACGUUUUGUGAUUUUGUGAUAUUUGGUGAAUUGUGCAAACGUUUUCGAAUGAAAAUACGCCGAAACUCCAAUUAAACGCGGCAAUGAAAAUGAAGAAAAAGCGAACGCGCACAGCACGAACGAAGGCAAAUAAAUGAAAGAAAUGAAAUGAAGAAGAGGACGAAAAAGACCGCGGAAUGCUAGACAGAGAUGGCGCUAUUUUCCAGCGAAGAUAUUACCAACUCAAGCAUAAAUAGAGGUGUACGUGUGAAAUCAACUAUCCAUCUUUCGAGUCUCUACUGUACACACCUCCCAGAGCGGACAUUAAACCGCAAGAGCAGCUCACAAUGGAAGCGCUUUGUUGUCGUCGGCGUUAUCAAUUAAAUGUAAAGCGCGGCGCAGCGCAAACGAAAUGGAAAUGAAAAUGGCAGCCGUGAGAUACGCCACUCACACAGAUACUAUGUACAGAUACUUGCAUGUGCGUAUGUUCGUAUGUGCUGCACACUUUUACAAAAGUUUGUUAUUAUUAUAUUUGCGAUGAGCGGAAAUGCCAAUUGAAGCUACCUUUAACAAAGCCCCAUGAAGAUGCCAGCCCCGGGGUUAACUACUGAUGGACGGACAGACGGACGGAUGGACAGACUGUGUGCAUGACUCAAGUGUUUUUCAGGGGAGCCACUCGAGCCGAAGCUGAAAAUUGAUUGAUUCCACUAAGCGACUGGCCCGCGCACAUGGAAAUGGAAGCUAAAACCACUCGAGUGUUCAAGAUAACCUCGAUCAGUUGAUCCUUGAAGUGUGCCCACAACAACUGUUAUCCUUGACAACCCGAACAACAUCAUCAUCAUCCUAAACGUUGUCAGAGCGAUCAUCGUUAUCUGUUUUCAUAACUGUCAAUUGUUGACUUUUGUUUCGAACUGCAUUUGAAUGUCGGCGCACAGCCUUAAACCCCGUGCCCAUUUUCAUUCACGAAAAGAAAAGCAGCUGGAAAAGGUCCUUGCGGGAAAGAGAGGGCAGAUAUAUUGGAAAUAUUUGGGCACGUGUGCGUUGUAUGGCAUUGAUUUUGUGGUUCGGCUUUUGUAGUCCUAAGCAGCCUAACGGUUUACCUGAACUAUCGAGGGAAAUCCUGUAAAAUAAGGGCUUGAAAACGUAGAGGAGUGAGUUUUCCGAAUGAGAUAAGAAGUGUGAGAGAGCUAAAGAGAGAUCGAAGUUAGCCCGCAUAUUUUGGAAAACUUUACCGUUUCCCCACUCGAAUCCGGUAAUUUAAUAUUUUCUAGACCGUGUUUAUUUUACGCAAAAACUGUUUGCGUUGCGUUCGAGGGAAAUUAACGAAAAUUGAAACAGAUACUAGGGCACACGUCACAGGACUCACGCUCAGCUGAGCAAAUACUUGAGUCGGUUCUCGAAAAGGUUGCGGACACGUCCUUCAAAUAGAUGUAACAUUAGCUGCUAAAAGGUUAAACACUCCGUUGGCCAGGAAAUCUCGAAAAGCUAAUAAAAAAUGCAAAACGAAAGUGCAGCCAUCUCCGCCGCUGUAGAAACAAUAUUCAAAGUAUAAAAAUAAUAAUAAAUCCCAUUUGGCCGCCGGCAGCCCGUUCAAUGAAAACAAUAACAAACAGGCAAAGGAUCAGGACACGCUCGCCAGCCGAAGUUUACCUUGAUGCGGCCGCAUCAGCGGACAAAGUGAACAAACAAAUAAGCAAAUGAACGCUCGCCGAAAAAGCACAAUAAUAAAAAUACAAAAAAAUUAAGCAAGCAGCAGUGGGAAGCGAGAUUGCGGCACGCGUCUGACGACCUACCACAGGACAAAGGAAAAAUCCAGGACUCGCGAGCGGAGAAAUCGAGCAGCAAAAUCAGAGCGAUUCAGACUCCGCACAGUGGGGCCAAACCGGAAAAUAGUUAAGUUAUUCGAUCGGAUUUAAUACGAGCACCAAAAGUAGUAUUUUUAAUUAACUUAGCAUAUGAUAAAAGAUAAUCGACACUCUCAAAUACCUGUUAUAAGAUACAAUUAAGGAAUUUCAAGUUCAGGACAUUCUAAUGUUUUCGUUGCACUUUUGCAACAACCUUUGACCACUGUACCCGACCAGCAACCAGCUAACGGGCGAAAAAAACAAGUUUCAGUCACCUUUUUUCCGUGAUUGGUGGUGGAUUCUUUGGUUGGCAGUCAGACAGAAGACAAAAGUCAGUCACAUGUGCACAUGGACCAUGGAACAUGGGACACGGGGUUUAGAGGGAUGAGGAGGCCAGGGCUUCCACCUUUCGGCUGCUGCUGUUGUUCUUUCACCUCAAUUGCAGCAGGAACUGGAAUCGAGAUCGCAUUGUUGACAUCAUCGCGAAAGGGACGAAAUCAGAAGGCACUGUGGGGUAGUUUUCUGCCCAGGAUCAGCCCUCAUUUGGCCAUUUGGCCUGCAGCUACCUCAGUUUGUUGUAAGUAAUCGCCGUCAUCAUCAUCAUCAGCCUCAUCGAUGGGUGGAAAAUGGCAGGGCGGGCGUCAAGGACAACUGGCGACAACAUGUGCGUCAUCGCAGUGGAAGCCGCCACGUUUACUCAUUAGGUUUGGCCCAAAAGCGAUUUUCAACUUUUUUUUUUGGCCCGAAACGUAUAUAUUUGCGAAAUUGCGCAGGAGAUUCG